RNAcentral lists this ribosomal RNA (427 nucleotides) under uncultured bacterium. Its description in RNAcentral is "partial 16S ribosomal RNA". It matches the Rfam family "Bacterial small subunit ribosomal RNA", at positions 355 to 774 of the family's 1533-position model. The record is from RNAcentral.
UGGGGAAUAUUGCACAAUGGGCGCAAGCCUGAUGCAGCCAUGCCGCGUGUAUGAAGAAGGCCUUCGGGUUGUAAAGUACUUUCAGCGGGGAGGAAGGCGAUAAGGUUAAUAACCUUGUCGAUUGACGUUACCCGCAGAAGAAGCACCGGCUAACUCCGUGCCAGCAGCCGCGGUAAUACGGAGGGUGCAAGCGUUAAUCGGAAUUUCUGGGCGUAAAGCGCACGCAGGCGGUCUGUCAAGUCGGAUGUGAAAUCCCCGGGCUCAACCCGGGAACUGCAUUCGAAACUGGCAGGCUAGAGUCUUGUAGAGGGGGGUAGAAUUCCAGGUGUAGCGGUGAAAUGCGUAGAGAUCUGGAGGAAUACCGGUGGCGAAGGCGGCCCCCUGGACAAAGACUGACGCUCAGGUGCGAAAGCGUGGGGAGCAAACA